RNAcentral lists this unclassified non-coding RNA (314 nucleotides) under Hevea brasiliensis (rubber tree). The record is from RNAcentral. Lineage: Eukaryota; Viridiplantae; Streptophyta; Magnoliopsida; Malpighiales; Euphorbiaceae.
GGGCAGAAGCAACGGCGUCUCAUUCUCCUAUAGCCCCGACAUAUGAUGGCCAAUCUAAACCAUAAACAUUGCCGUAACUGGGGAGAGCUCCCUAAUGUCAGAACCAAACCACAUGCUACGAUCUGCACCAAAACCUCACACUGAAGCAGAGCACUUGCAGACCAACAACUAACAAACACAAACAAAACUAAUCACAGAUACAAAAGAGGAAAGAAUAUCUUCCCCACCAGAGAGAGUCAUGCUCUCACUAAAACAAUAAUAAUAAUAAUAAUAGAUGGGGGAGAGGGUUGACGGCCUAGAAGCCAGACCUCUCC